UCAUGGCUCAGGAUGAACGCUGGCGGCGUGCCUAACACAUGCAAGUCGAACGAAGCGAUCAAGAUGAAGUUUUCGGAUGAAUUCGAGAUUGACUGAGUGGCGGACGGGUGAGUAACGCGUGGGUAACCUGCCUCAUACAGGGGGGAUAACAGUUAGAAAUGACUGCUAAUACCGCAUAAGCCCCCGGGGUCGCAUGAUCCAGAGGGAAAAGAUUUAUCGGUGUAAGAUGGUCCCGCGUCUGAUUAGCUAGUUGGUGAGGUAACGGCCCACCAAGGCGACGAUCAGUAGCCGACCUGAGAGGGUGACCGGCCACAUUGGGACUGAGACACGGCCCAAACUCCUACGGGAGGCAGCAGUGGGGAAUAUUGCACAAUGGGGGAAACCCUGAUGCAGCGACGCCGCGUGAGUGAAGAAGUAUUUCGGUAUGUAAAGCUCUAUCAGCAGGGAAGAAAGUGACAGUACCUGACUAAGAAGCCCCGGCUAACUACGUG
Molecule: ribosomal RNA, 491 nt
Filed under: uncultured bacterium
Lineage: Bacteria
Description: bacterial SSU rRNA
Rfam family: Bacterial small subunit ribosomal RNA
Source: RNAcentral